GUAGUUGAAUUGUCGCGCCUAAUCGCCAGGCUGCGAAUCUGGGGGGCGGGCGUUCGAAUCGCUCCGGGUGCGCCA
RNAcentral lists this transfer RNA (75 nucleotides) under Brevundimonas sp. SL130. RNAcentral describes it as "tRNA-Arg". It matches the Rfam family "tRNA". From Rfam's summary of the family: Transfer RNA (tRNA) molecules are approximately 80 nucleotides in length. Their secondary structure includes four short double-helical elements and three loops (D, anti-codon, and T loops). Lineage: Bacteria; Pseudomonadati; Pseudomonadota; Alphaproteobacteria; Caulobacterales; Caulobacteraceae. The record is from RNAcentral.